RNAcentral lists this transfer RNA (71 nucleotides) under Marmota monax (woodchuck). RNAcentral's name for it is "tRNA.Gly". It matches the Rfam family "tRNA". Rfam says of the family: Transfer RNA (tRNA) molecules are approximately 80 nucleotides in length. Their secondary structure includes four short double-helical elements and three loops (D, anti-codon, and T loops). Further hydrogen bonds mediate the characteristic L-shaped molecular structure. tRNAs have two regions of fundamental functional importance: the anti-codon, which is responsible for specific mRNA codon recognition, and the 3' end, to which the tRNAs corresponding amino acid is attached (by aminoacyl-tRNA synthetases). tRNAs cope with the degeneracy of the genetic code in two manners: having more than one tRNA (with a specific anti-codon) for a particular amino acid; and 'wobble' base-pairing, i.e. permitting non-standard base-pairing at the 3rd anti-codon position. Lineage: Eukaryota; Metazoa; Chordata; Mammalia; Rodentia; Sciuridae. The record is from RNAcentral.
GGGGAUGUAGCUCAGUGGUAGAGCACUUGCCUACCAUGCAUGAGGCCCUGGGUUCAAUCCCCAGCACUCCA